Lagopus leucura (white-tailed ptarmigan) is the source of this 826-nucleotide long non-coding RNA. RefSeq lists it as uncharacterized. The transcript has 3 exons. The record is from RefSeq and is a predicted model, not a curated record. NCBI's taxonomy places the organism in Eukaryota, Metazoa, Chordata, Aves, Galliformes, Phasianidae.
GAGAUCCCUGCUUAUGUGAGUCCUUCUGAAGUGAUUAACAAAAUCCAGGACAUGCACUGUACUCCAUCCCACACUGCCUCCAUGGAGCAUAUACCCACAUGAUACUGAAGGGCGCCUCAACUGGUUCUUAGUUGCACCAACUUCACCAUUCUCCUUAUCCACAAAGAUCAGCGUUGACAUCUCUGGGCUGAUGAGACCACCCUGGAAAGGCAUACAGAAAAUCUAGGCAGUUCUUGCUAACAGAAACAGCAAGUGUUUGAAUUGCCACGUGCUGGCACGUGAAGAGAAUGCAGCAAGCCGUACUUCAUGCCACAGCAGUUUAGCUACAGACUAUCGGCCCUGGAUACACCGAUACCCGGACCCAUGGAGCUCACGUGGGUUUGAGAAAGACUCAAGGUCUCACCGCAAUCCUGCGCGUUUGCUGCUUCACUUCUCUCCAGCGCUCAGUGUUGCUCACUGCAGGAAGCCUAGGCUGGCGAUCCGACUCGCAACGCGAGCAGCCAGCGGUCACAGGGGGCCUCUUCCCCCAGGGCAGAAGAAUCGCGAGCAGCCAAGAAAGAACUCCCUGCGGGAAGCCGCACACUUACCUGCGGUGAGAGCCGGACGGGAACAGGAGAGAGAGGACAGCGCGGAGCGGGCGGGAGCGGCUCAGAGCGCGGACAGAGAAAAGUACAAACAGCGCCCUGCCGCCACCGGCCCCUACAGCCCUUCCGCUCCUCCCAUUGGCUGUUUCGACUAACGCUCAGGCAUCCGAUUGGCUCAGCGCCGUCGGGGCGACGGCGGGACUGCUGGGUUCCGGUGCCUCGUUGCCGUGGUGACUGCGUGA